Non-coding RNA from Theobroma cacao (cacao), 322 nucleotides. The record is from RefSeq and is a predicted model, not a curated record. NCBI's taxonomy places the organism in Eukaryota, Viridiplantae, Streptophyta, Magnoliopsida, Malvales, Malvaceae.
CUUAAAUUUCUCAACUCUCAAGACCUUCGAACUCCACUAUUAAACCUUGAUCUUCAAGAACUAAAGGGUUUCAAGAUUUGUUAGAACCCUUGUGUAAGAGCUCACCAAGGUGUUGUUGGAACAAAUUUAGUUUUCAUAGAAGUCGAGCUUUCGACGAAAGGCAUUAAGAGGAAAGGCAUGCUUCCAUGACGUGGGUAGAUACGACAUUUUUAAUUAUUUCGAUGUAAUUAAGCAUGUUUAUUCUACAACCUCACUUUAAAACGUAUUUUGUUAAAUUUUGUGAUGUGAACAAAGGUUUCAAGUUUGUUUUAUGAAGGUUAUG